Molecule: ribosomal RNA, 6354 nt
Filed under: Triticum aestivum (bread wheat)
Lineage: Eukaryota; Viridiplantae; Streptophyta; Magnoliopsida; Poales; Poaceae
Description: partial small subunit ribosomal RNA
Source: RNAcentral
AUGGAGGCGACGCCGGAGAGGGAGAGGGAGGGUAGGGGGGAGGAGUGGAGCGACGGUGGCGUGGCUCUGGGUUUCCGGGUGAAGGCGUGUUCCCGCGAGUCGUCGGGGCAGAAGGCCGCCAACGUGCUGGAGCCCGACCUCCGCUCCCACUGGUCCACCGCCACCAACACCAAGGAGUGGAUCCUCCUCGAGCUCAACGAGCCGUGCCUCGUCUCCCACAUCCGCAUCUACAACAAGUCCGUCCUCGAAUGGGAGGUCACCGGUGGGCUGCGCUACAAGCCCGAGGCCUUCGUCAAGGUUCGCCCACGCGGCGAAGCUCCGAAGCGCGACAUGGUGUACCCGGCCAACCACACCCCCUGCCGCUACGUCCGCAUCUCUUGUCUGCGCGGAAGCCCCAUUGCCAUCUACUUCAUCCAGCUCACCGGAAUCCCUGUACCUGGCCUGGAACCUGAAUUCCAACCUCUUGUCAACCACUUGUUACCACAAAUAUCCUCUUCGCAGAAACAAUCUCAUUCUUCGCACAAUAUGCAUCUCCAGUUACUCAAAGAUAUUGCAAGCAGGCUACCACCGUUUCUGCCCCAGAUUGAGGCUGACCUUAAUAGCAUCACAGACACCCCAGAGGGCAGUGUUCGGUUUUUGGCUCUGCUUGCUGGCCCAUUUUAUCCAAUCCUCAACCUUAUAAACGAAAGGGAUGCUACAAAAACGUCGAUUGCUUCUGUUGAUUCAGAUACCCUAAAGACUAGCCUGGCUUCUAUUCCAACUGUUUCCUCAAACUUCGAGGCACAACCUAGGAGAGCACGGAGUCCAUCUUCUGUUCAGCCUGCUUCAUGUAUGCUGGCAUUUCGAUCUGAAACAGCUAUACUACUCUUAAGGAAAGCACACAAAGACAAAACUCUCUCAAUUGUCUGCCAUCGAGCAUCAAGGGUGCUCCAAAAACUUUUGGAGCCUGAGCCAUUCGUUGAUGAGCCAAUACCUAAUGGUGGCAUGCUUUCGAGUGAAGUCUCUGAUGAAAUUCCUAAAAGUGAUGCUUCCAGCCUAGUGCCUUAUACAAACUACUCUAGUUUGUUUGGAGAAGAAUUUAGUUUAUCGGAAAAUCACUUCGAUGGCUCUUUUCUAAAUAUUUUGGAUGUUGCUGCUGUUGAAGAAGGCAUUCUUCAUGUACUGUAUGCAGCUGCAUCACAGCCUCAACUAGGUUGCAAGCUUGCUGAAACUACUUCAGACAUGUGGUCUGUCUUACCGCUUGUUCAAGCACUUCUUCCAGCACUUCGUCCUCCAUUUAGUGCUGGCCCUACCGAACAGAUUGAUGAUUGUUUUAGCCAAUGGAACCAUCCAGAUGUUCACAAUGCUCUUUCCCAGAUUGUGUCAAUGUCGGUAUCAUCAGUUUUUCAUCCUCUUCUCAGAGGCUGUGCUGGUUAUCUUUCAUCAUACCUGCCAUCACAUGCAAAAGCAGCAUGUGUUUUGCUUGAUUUGUGCAGGGGACCAUUAUCACCUUGGGUGCCCAUGAUCACAGCAAAGGUAGAUCUUGCAGUUGAACUUCUGGAGGAUCUCUUGGGUGUUAUCCAGGGAGUUGGGCAAUCUCUUUCCCGUUCUCGUGCGGCGCUGAAGUAUAUUUUAUUGGCCGUAUCAGGGAAUAUGGAUGAUGUUCUCGCAGAAUACAAAGAAGUCAAGCAUAAAAUACUUUUCAUUCUGGAGAUGCUAGAUCCUUUUGUUGAUCAUGCUAUAAGUGCAAUGAAAGACAGAAUAUCAUUUGGUGGUGUGUCUGCUAUAUAUCUGGAGAAACAGGCAAAAGUUUGCAAUAUGGCCUUGAACAUUAUUCGUACAGCUGCAAAGAAUCCUGCUGUACUCCCUUCUUUGGAACUUGAAUGGCGGCGAGGUGCUGUUGCCCCAAGUAUACUUCUUUCUAUCUUGGAUCCUCAUAUGCCACUCCCACCUGACGUUGACCUCUGCAAAAGUUCAUUGCCCGAGGUUGAUCAAGCAGCUUUGGCGGUUUCAGAUUGUCCAGCACCACAUUCUUGCAACCCUGAAGUUGUUGACGGGCGAGACACAUCUGAAAUAGCUAUGAGAAUAGAAAGUUUUGAACAGUACAAUUCUUUAUUUGCUCCUGAAGAAUUGAAGCAAUCUGAGUUGACAAAUACUCUGCAAGAAGACCAUGAUAAAGUACAUACAAAUUUUGACCAGAACAUCCCUGAGGGCAGGAAAACCAAUGUAAAAUUACCAGCUGGCCUUUUCCAGUUGGAAGAUACUGUUGCUGAUGAUUACAAUGAUGCACGGGCUGAUUAUCUACAACUGCUGAACCAAGAGAACUGUGAAUUAAGAGCUCUAGAAUUUCGUCGCUUAGCACUGAAUCUGUGCAUGCAACAGGAACCAACAAUUGAGGGGCAUAAUGCCGGAAUUGAUGCUUUGCUAUUAGCUGCAGAAUGCUAUGUUAAUCCAUUUUUUCUCUUGGAUUUACGGCUUAAUUCAGAGCCUCUGGAUCGAAUUGAACGUACUCAUUCGGAGUUGAUACAACGGAAUGCCUCCUUCGAGUUGAAAGAUUUGCGUGUGAAAGAUUUAGAUCUAGCGACAGUGCACUGUUUGGAGAAUAAACGGGAUAGAGCUGUCCUAGAUUUACUCCUGCAAGCUGCAAAAUUUGACUGUGAAUACCAUGCAAAGAUACCCGACGGUGAAGUCUAUCCAAAUGAUGCUGAGGAUGACAAGCAAGCUAUAGAAAUUUCACCAGAAGUUACAGACCUUGUGGAUGCUGUAACUUUGGUCAGAAAGAACCAAGCUCUGCUUUGGCACUUUAUUAUCAAGCAAUUUGGAAGGAAAGGGCAUUUAGCUAAUGAAAUUCUUCUUGAUAGCUUGUUGUUCUUGUUGCACUCAGCAACUGACCUAUUUUGUCCACCAGAUAAUGUGAUCGAUAUCAUAUUGAAUUCUGCUGGAAACCUCAACCGACAGCUUGCAUGUGUUUACAGCUCAGUUAAUGCAGGGGAUAAGAAAUUGGAUAAUGUAAAAUUACAUGGUUUACAAAGACGUUGGGCACUUCUCCAGAAGCUGGUUCUGGCUUCAUCUGGUAGUGACAAUACUAGAGAACUUGUCAGCAUUAAAAAAGAUGGUUUUCGUUUUAGAAGCUUAGUUCCUCCAUCAGCAUGGGUGCAUAAGAUAUCAGAAUUUUCCAGGUUUUCUAGCCCACUUCCUCGAUUUCUUGGAUGGAUGGCAGUAUCGCGUUAUGCCAAGGAAUAUUUAAAUGAGAGACUGUUUCUUGCCUCUGAUUUCUCACAGCUUACAACUUUGCUGUCAAUUUUCACUGAUGAACUUAGUUUAAUGGAUGGAGUUGCAACUCAGAAGGUCAAGUCUGCGGACACUGAGCAAUCUGCUUGCAAUAAUUACUUGCUUCUUAAGAAGGAAUCUAUGUUGUCAGAUAAACCAAGCAUGAACAAACUGUUUCAGAUUUUACUUCCUGAACUACAUUUCUUUUUUCCAAGCAUGAGCAGACUGUUUCACGGAUUUGGAGAGACCAUUUUGGAAGCUGUUGGUUUGCAGUUAAAAUGUCUCCCCAAAAGUGCAGUACAAGAUGUUCUUUGUUGGUUUUCUGAGAUGUGCAUGUGGCCUUACCUUGAAGGCAUCAAGGAGCAUCUUGUACUUGCAAACGGAGCAAGUUCUUUGAGAGGUAAUAUUGCUGCUAAUGCCAAGGCUGUUGUUUUCUAUCUACUCGAGUCGGUUGUUUCUGAGCACUUGGAGGCUAUUGUUCCUGAAAUGCCAAGGGUAGUGCACAUUCUUGUGUCACUUUGUAGAGCUUCUUAUGCUGAUGUGGCCUUCCUUGACUCUGUAUUGUGUCUGCUGAAGCCAUUGAUAUCUUACUUCUUAAGGAAGGGAACUGAUGAUGAAAAAGUGAUGGGUCAUAUAACUGACUGCAGUGAUUUUGAGUUGAUUUGUUUUGAAGAAUUGUUUGAAAUUAUCCGGUGUGGUAAACAUACAAAGGAUGCAACCAGUGAUAAGAUUCAGGUCCCAUUGCUGAUCUUCAUUCUGGGGUCUCUGCUUCCUGAUCUGUCCUUUAAGAGGAGGAUUGAAAUAUUGGACUCCUUGCUAGUAUGGGUAGACUCUAUUAGUUCUGAUCCACCAUCACUGCUGUGUAGUUAUCUUGAAGGCUUUCAUACACUUAUUGAUGGUUGUGUAACUAUACUAGUUCAGAAUAUUGAAUUACUUGGUAUCAUCAUCCUUUCUGUGAGAGAACAGUCUAGGGAGGCUGCAAAUUCCAUAAGUGGGGAUGCCAUGAUGCGACUUGAGAAGAAUUCACAAGAUAGUGCAGAGCAGCUACUAGUUAAAUCCACAGACAAUGCGGAAAAGUCGAAGGGGCCACCUGCUGGUUGUAUUAUAGAAUUUUGUGAUGCCCUGGAGAAGGUCAUUUCACAUCUUACUCUGUCAAUUGAGAGUAGCUGGAAAUGGCACCAUCAGUUGGCCUCUAGGCUGUCUUCAUUGAUGGCAAAGUGUUUGCUGUAUGCGAAAUGCUUAAAAGCUGUUACUCAAGGAAACACAAUUUCUAGUAGCACUAGGCAAGAGGUGGAGCUUGUACAAAAACACUGGGAGAGUGCUCUUGAAGGUCUUGCAGAAACCAUUUUAGGAAAUCAGGAAAAGCAGUGCUGGCAGGUGGCAUCCUCUAUGCUUGACUAUAUGAUUAAACUACCUAAUGUUCUUGCUUGGGGUAAUGUUCUUAGUGCCACUUGUUCAGCAAUCGAGCACUUCUGCUCUCAUGCACCUAGGAUAUCUUGGAGACUGCAGACAGAGAAGUGGUUAUCAUUAUUGGUUUCGGGUGGAAUUGAAGACCUCAAGAAUAGUGAAACCUCGUUGAUUAAUCUUUUCUGUACAAUGUUGAGUCACGCCGAACCAGAACAACGCUCUGUUGCAUUGCAGCAACUUGGGAGGAUUAUUCACUUGGCGAGUACUGCUGAAGUCGGAUCUGGUUCAACAAUGACGUCCCAUUUGGUUACUCAUACAUGGAACAGAAUAGUAGCAUUGGCUCUCUAUGACUCUUCUAUGCUAUUAAGGAAUCAUGCGAUGGCUUUGCUCACUGAAUAUGCUCCAUUUGUUGAUAAAAAUCAUCUGCGGUCAUUUCUUGCAUCAAGUGACAGUAUCCUGAAAGGUGUGGGGCAACUUUCAUGUGUAAUUGAAGAGGGCUAUUUGACACGAAUGUCGUUACUGUUGCUUUCAAAGGCAUGUCUUUAUUCUUCUUCUGAAGAUAUUGCUUUGAUUCCUGAAUGUGUUUGGAGGAAAUUGGAAAACAUGCAAACAUCACUAACUGGAGGUUUUGAUGAUGUCGAGAAAGAUCUCUGUCGAGCUCUAUGUCAGCUAAGAACUGAAUCUGAUGCUAAAACGGUUGUAAAAGAACUUCUCGCAGGAUCUACUACAAAACCAGUGAACACUGAUUAUAAGGAUAUCCGUGAAUCAAUUCUUCAGGUGUUGUCCUCUUUGAGUUCUGUUGAGUCCUACUUUGAGUUCUUCUCAAUCAGAUCUGAUCAGGAAUGUCAGGAACUUGAAGAAGCUGAGAUUGAAUUGGAGCUUAUUAAAAACGAGAAAGCAGUUCAGAAAUUUGUCGGACGUCCUCAGGUGGCUCCAGGCGUGUUAUCAUAUUACAAGGAUAGUAGUGAAGUUAAUAAACAGCUUCAGCAGAUCCGUGAAGAUAUACGGUCCCUAGAACGGUCCAAGCUCAGAGAGGAAAUUAUAGCACGCCGACAGAAGAAAUUGCUUAUCAGACAUACUCGUGAAAAGUACUUGGAAGAGACGAGUUGCAAGGAAAUGGAGCUUAUGCAAGAGCUUGAUAGGGAAAGAAGUCUUGAGAUGGAGCGUGACAUCGAAAGGCAGCGACAGCUGGAUCUCGAGCGUGUGAAGUCUAGGGAACUGCAAUAUAACCUCGAUAUGGAAAGGGAGAAACAAACUCAGAGAGAGCUUCAACGUGAGCUGGAGCAGGUUGAGUUGGGGCGGUCAUCAAGGCGGGAGUUCUCAGCCAACCCCAGCAGCCGGGCGAGGGAGAGAUACCGCGAAAGGGAUAACAGUAGAGGCGCGCAGCAGGAGGGAAGCCGCGGCCAAGGCCACGAGGGUCAAUCACCGGUCGUGAUGGGCGGUGCAUCAAGGCCAUCGUCGUUCCCUACGAUACUGCAAUCUCGCGACCGUGGCAGCGAUGGUGGCUACGAGGAGAACGCGGAGGGAAGCAGGGAUUCCGGCGGCGACACCAGCAGCAUGGGAGACCCGGAGCUGGACGGGCCGGGGUCGGGCUCGAGGCACGGGACACGAGCUGGCGGCAGCAAGUCGUCAAGGCAGGUGCUGGAGCGGCGAGAGCGAGACGGUAGACGGGAAGGUAAAUGGGAGCGGAAGCAAUGA